AUUAGGUCAUAAAUACAGAAAACAUAAGAAUCAAAGGUUUAUUUAAUCUCAUAAAUUAAAGUGGCUCAGGGUUCAAGGAGCAGCACAUUCACCACAAAAGGGGCAGAAGCUCAGCAAAGCCCAAAGCUGCAGAGCAGGGUCCAAGGCAGAGGGGUGGGGUUUGCAAGCAAAUGAGAUUAAAAUGAUGGGACAGAAGGGGCUCAGCGAGACACGGGGAGAUGGAGUCUGGAGUCUGAGAGCACAACGCUGCCCCCAACAGGGAAAAAAGGAAGACAAGAAAAGCUUUGGUGCAGCAGAGAAUCCACCUGCCUGUCCAAGCCCUUCCCCAAAGCCUGGAUAAAAAAAUCCACAUCAUCCUGAAGGAGCAUCCUCUGACUUUGCCAUUCAGCCUCCCAGCUGCUUGGCAGCCACUCCAAUGCCAGUGUGAUGAUUGUUAUUAUUAUUGUUGUUGUUAUUAUUACUGAAAAUAACAUCCUUAUCCUUCCAGCCACUCAGGCCUCUGCACAGGUGAGGGGAACAAAGGGCUCCACACAAUAAAUGCACAUUUUCCUGCAUUUGCUGUCAGGCACAGCACAAUUCCUGCUACAGCACUGCCUCUGACUCCUGCACAGCUCAUUCUGAGAUCAAAGCACAGAAAUGCCAUGGGGACAACAAGGAAAGGAAAGGAACACACAGAGCCUCUUCCCUGCUGCAGUUUGGCAAUAAAACCUGUGGGGCUGCACGGCAGAGGAAAAACCAACCUGGCCCUGGGAAUAUUCUCCUCUUUCAGUCUGGGCACCAGGGAACGCCUUGGGAGGCCAAAAUGACAAAAACCCGGGAGAAAGAGUCACAAAGCCAGCAAAAGCCUUGUCACAGAGAGUCACAAAGGCAGCAGUAACCGUGGCACUGCACAAGGACACAGCACGUUCUGAGGACCGCCUGAAUUCCAGCUCCUGGGGCAACCCUGCACGCCCAAAAACUGCUUUUCCACAUGCAACGUUUGAGUGGCAGCCUCAGAUCCCGGCUCCUCCUGGGCUUCACACCAAGCUAAGCAAGGAAUAACUUCAGAGAGGCCAGAGAAGUUUCACCCCUGCAAGCUCCUGAUGCCUUUACUCCUCCAGAGAUGGACAAGCAGGCAGGAAGGAGAUUUGGGAGACCUGCCUUGUGGAAAGCAUCCCCCUGCAGAGCUGGGGAAUGCCACCUUCUGCUCUCAGAAAGCUUUUCCUACCCCACACAAGGAGCCAGCAUCCCCUGGGAACAGCCAGGCAGGGGUUUGCCACAGGGAGCGCUCCCACAUACCUGCCACAAGAGGCAGAGAAGUGAUGGACUGGUGAUUGGGCCAGUGUCGUUGGCGAGGUGGCACGCUCACCCUCCAAUCCACUGGCACCUUUGGAAAACUAUAAAUGCUGGAGUCAGAAAAUAAAC
Vidua chalybeata is the source of this 1404-nucleotide long non-coding RNA. RefSeq lists it as uncharacterized. Lineage: Eukaryota; Metazoa; Chordata; Aves; Passeriformes; Viduidae. The transcript is spliced from 3 exons. The record is from RefSeq and is a predicted model, not a curated record.